UGAGGGAAUAUUUGGGGACAAUGGAGGCAACUCUGAUCCAGCCAUGCCGCGUGAAGGACUAAGGCCCUACGGGCUGUAAACUUCUCUAGACGCAGAGCAAUAAGGGCCACGUGUGGUCCGAUGAGAGUAUGCGUAGAAUAAGCAUCGGCUAACUCCGUGCCAGCAGCCGCGGUAAUACAGGGGAUGCGAGCGUUAUCCGGAUUCAUUGGGUUUAAAGGUGCGUAGGCGGCUUUGCAAGUCAGCGGUGAAAGGCCCGGGCUCAACCCGGAAAGUGCCGUUGAUACUGUGAGGCUGGAAUGCGGAUGCUGUGGGAGGAAUGAGUGGUGU
RNAcentral lists this ribosomal RNA (327 nucleotides) under uncultured bacterium. RNAcentral describes it as "bacterial SSU rRNA". It matches the Rfam family "Bacterial small subunit ribosomal RNA", at positions 354 to 676 of the family's 1533-position model. The record is from RNAcentral.